CGAACGCUGGCGGCGCGCCUAAUACAUGCAAGUCGAGCGAGAAGGUGUAGCAAUACACUUGUAAAGCGGCGAACGGGUGAGGAAUACAUGGGUAAUCUACCAUCGAGUGGGGAAUAACCAGCCGAAAGGUUGGCUAAUACCGCGUACGCUUCCGAGUCUUCGGGCUUGGAAGGAAAGCCGCACUGUGAGUGCGGCGCUCUUUGAUGAGCUCAUGUCCUAUCAGCUUGUUGGUAGGGUAACGGCCUACCAAGGCUUUGACGGGUAGCUGGUCUGAGAGGACGAUCAGCCACACUGGCACUGCGACACGGGCCAGACUCCUACGGGAGGCAGCAGUAAGGAAUAUUGCGCAAUGGGCGAAAGCCUGACGCAGCGACGCCGCGUGGGGGAUGAAGGUCUUCGGAUUGUAAACCCCUUUCGGGAGGGAAGAUGGAGCGAGCAAUCGUUCGGACGGUACCUCCAGAAGCAGCCACGGCCAACUUCGUG
Molecule: ribosomal RNA, 483 nt
Filed under: uncultured bacterium
Lineage: Bacteria
Description: bacterial SSU rRNA
Rfam family: Bacterial small subunit ribosomal RNA
Source: RNAcentral